Molecule: ribosomal RNA, 284 nt
Filed under: uncultured bacterium
Lineage: Bacteria
Description: partial 16S ribosomal RNA
Rfam family: Bacterial small subunit ribosomal RNA
Source: RNAcentral
GUCCUGGCCCUAAACGAUGGGUACUAGGUAGUAGCCCAGGCAUGGGGUUACUGCCGGAGCGAAAGUGCUAAGUACCCCGCCUGGGGAGUAUGGUCGCAAGGCUGAAACUCAAAGGAAUUGACGGGGGCUCACACAAGCGGUGGAGCAUGUGGCUUAAUUCGAGGCUACGCGAAGAACCUUAUCCCGGACUUGACAUGUGCGAAAGCGUUGGGAGGUACCCGCCCGAAAGGUGCGGGGAACGGUAUCCAAUCCGGAACCCAGCACAGGUGCUGCAUGGCUGUCGU